RNAcentral lists this ribosomal RNA (492 nucleotides) under uncultured bacterium. RNAcentral describes it as "partial 16S ribosomal RNA". It matches the Rfam family "Bacterial small subunit ribosomal RNA", at positions 29 to 507 of the family's 1533-position model. The record is from RNAcentral.
AGUGAACGCUGGCGGUAGGCCUAACACAUGCAAGUCGAACGGCAGCACAGUAAGAGCUUGCUCUUACGGGUGGCGAGUGGCGGACGGGUGAGGAAUACAUCGGAAUCUACUUUUUCGUGGGGGAUAACGUAGGGAAACUUACGCUAAUACCGCAUACGACCUACGGGUGAAAGCAGGGGAUCUUCGGACCUUGCGCGAUUGAAUGAGACGAUGUCGGAGUAGCUAGUUGGCGGGGUAAAGGCCCACCAAGGCGACGAUCCGUAGCUGGUCUGAGAGGAUGAUCAGCCACACUGGAACUGAGACACGGUCCAGACUCCUACGGGAGGCAGCAGUGGGGAAUAUUGGACAAUGGGCGCAAGCCUGAUCCAGCCAUACCGCGUGGGUGAAGAAGGCCUUCGGGUUGUAAAGCCCUUUUGUUGGGAAAGAAAAGCAGCAGGUUAAUACCCCGCUGUUCUGACGGUACCCAAAGAAUAAGCACCGGCUAACUUCGUG